AUUAGAGUCCCAGGGUAAACAUCAACCCAAAUAGGACGAAACGCGCGUCCUGGAU
Molecule: non-coding RNA, 55 nt
Organism: Schistosoma mansoni
Lineage: Eukaryota; Metazoa; Platyhelminthes; Trematoda; Strigeidida; Schistosomatidae
Source: Rfam